This 506-nucleotide ribosomal RNA is filed under the name uncultured bacterium. RNAcentral's name for it is "partial 16S ribosomal RNA". It matches the Rfam family "Bacterial small subunit ribosomal RNA", at positions 30 to 523 of the family's 1533-position model. The record is from RNAcentral.
AUUGAACGCUGGCGGCAGGCAUAACACAUGCAAGUCGAGCGGUAACAGAGAGAAGCUUGCUUCUCUGCUGACGAGCGGCGGACGGGUGAGUAAUGCCUAGGAAUCUGCCUAGUAGCGGGGGAUAACUUGCCGAAAGGUAAGCUAAUACCGCAUACGUCCUACGGGAGAAAGGAGGGGACCUUCGGGCCUUUCGCUAUUAGAUGAGCCUAGGUCGGAUUAGUUAGUUGGUGAGGUAAUGGCUCACCAAGACCGCGAUCCGUAACUGGUCUGAGAGGAUGAUCAGUCACACUGGAACUGAGACACGGUCCAGACUCCUACGGGAGGCAGCAGUGGGGAAUAUUGGACAAUGGGGGGAACCCUGAUCCAGCCAUGCCGCGUGUGUGAAGAAGGUCUUAGGAUUGUAAAGCACUUUAAGUUGGGAGGAAGAGCAGUUAACUAAUAUUUGACUGUUUUGACGUUACCGACAGAAUAAGCACCGGCUAACUUCGUGCCAGCCGCCGCAGUAA